This 675-nucleotide ribosomal RNA is filed under the name Pseudomonas sp. LS71. RNAcentral's name for it is "bacterial SSU rRNA". It matches the Rfam family "Bacterial small subunit ribosomal RNA", at positions 68 to 738 of the family's 1533-position model. The record is from RNAcentral. Lineage: Bacteria; Pseudomonadati; Pseudomonadota; Gammaproteobacteria; Pseudomonadales; Pseudomonadaceae.
GUCAGCACGGGUACUUGUACCUGGUGGCGAGCGGCGGACGGGUGAGUAAUGCCUAGGAAUCUGCCUGGUAGUGGGGGAUAACGCUCGGAAACGGACGCUAAUACCGCAUACGUCCUACGGGAGAAAGCAGGGGACCUUCGGGCCUUGCGCUAUCAGAUGAGCCUAGGUCGGAUUAGCUAGUUGGUGAGGUAAUGGCUCACCAAGGCGACGAUCCGUAACUGGUCUGAGAGGAUGAUCAGUCACACUGGAACUGAGACACGGUCCAGACUCCUACGGGAGGCAGCAGUGGGGAAUAUUGGACAAUGGGCGAAAGCCUGAUCCAGCCAUGCCGCGUGUGUGAAGAAGGUCUUCGGAUUGUAAAGCACUUUAAGUUGGGAGGAAGGGCAUUUACCUAAUACGUGAGUGUUUUGACGUUACCGACAGAAUAAGCACCGGCUAACUCUGUGCCAGCAGCCGCGGUAAUACAGAGGGUGCAAGCGUUAAUCGGAAUUACUGGGCGUAAAGCGCGCGUAGGUGGGUUGUUAAGUUGGAUGUGAAAUCCCCGGUCUCAACCUGGGAACUGCAUCCAAAACUGGCAAGCUAGAUGAUGGUAGAGGGUGGUGUAAUUUCCUGUGCAGCGGUGAAUGCGUAGAUUAGGUAGGAACACCAGUGCCAGAGGCUAUCAUCCUGACUGAU